GGUUAAGCGACUAAGCGUACACGGUGGAUGCCCUGGCAGUCAGAGGCGAUGAAGGGCGUGCUAAUCUGCGAUAAGCGCCGGUAAGGUGAUAUGAACCGUUAUAACCGGCGAUACCCGAAUGGGGAAACCCAGUGUGAUUCGUCACACUAUCAUUAACUGAAUCCAUAGGUUAAUGAGGCGAACCGGGGGAACUGAAACAUCUAAGUACCCCGAGGAAAAGAAAUCAACCGAGAUUCCCCCAGUAGCGGCGAGCGAACGGGGAGGAGCCCAGAGCCUGAAUCAGCAUGUGUGUUAGUGGAAGCGUCUGGAAAGGCGCGCGAUACAGGGUGACAGCCCCGUACACAAAAGCGCAUGUGCUGUGAGCUCGAUGAGUAGGGCGGGACACGUGGUAUCCUGUCUGAAUAUGGGGGGACCAUCCUCCAAGGCUAAAUACUCCUGACUGACCGAUAGUGAACCAGUACCGUGAGGGAAAGGCGAAAAGAACCCCGGCGAGGGGAGUGAAAAAGAACCUGAAACCGUGUACGUACAAGCAGUGGGAGCCCCACCACUAAGCCAGUGGUGAACUCCACAUCCGCAUCCUUUGCUGAGGAUACGGUUAACGGAGCGAAAGCGACGUUCAACCGCAAAACAAGCAGAGGGGGCUUAGUGGUGGGGUGACUGCGUACCUUUUGUAUAAUGGGUCAGCGACUUAUAUUCUGUAGCAAGGUUAACCGAAUAGGGGAGCCGGAGGGAAACCGAGUCUUAAUUGGGCGUUAAGUUGCAGGGUAUAGACCCGAAACCCGGUGAUCUAGCCAUGGGCAGGUUGAAGGUUGGGUAACACUAACUGGAGGACCGAACCGACUAAUGUUGAAAAAUUAGCGGAUGACCUGUGGCUGGGGGUGAAAGGCCAAUCAAACCGGGAGAUAGCUGGUUCUCCCCGAAAGCUAUUUAGGUAGCGCCUCGUGAAUUCAUCUCCGGGGGUAGAGCACUGUUUCGGCUAGGGGGCCAUCCCGGCUUACCAACCCGAUGCAAACUGCGAAUACCGGAGAAUGUUAUCACGGGAGACACACGGCGGGUGCUAACGUCCGUCGUGAAGAGGGAAACAACCCAGACCGCCAGCUAAGGUCCCAAAGUCAUGGUUAAGUGGGAAACGAUGUGGGAAGGCCCAGACAGCCAGGAUGUUGGCUUAGAAGCAGCCAUCAUUUAAAGAAAGCGUAAUAGCUCACUGGUCGAGUCGGCCUGCGCGGAAGAUGUAACGGGGCUAAACCAUGCACCGAAGCUGCGGCAGCGAACGUAUCACCCAAGACAACUUUACGGAGUUGACGAUUGACGGAGCGAAGCGACGUCAAAGCGUAUACAAAGUCGAGUCGGUUUAAGGAUACGUUCGUUGGGUAGGGGAGCGUUCUGUAAGCCCGUGAAGGUGGCCUGUGAGGGUUGCUGGAGGUAUCAGAAGUGCGAAUGCUGACAUAAGUAACGAUAAAGCGGGUGAAAAGCCCGCUCGCCGGAAGACCAAGGGUUCCUGUCCAACGUUAAUCGGGGCAGGGUGAGUCGACCCCUAAGGCGAGGCCGAAAGGCGUAGUCGAUGGGAAACGGGUUAAUAUUCCCGUACUUGGUGUUACUGCGAAGGGGGGACGGAGAAGGCUAUGUUGGCCGGGCGACGGUUGUCCCGGUUUAAGCGUGUAGGUGUGUGUUCCAGGUAAAUCCGGUUCACUUUAACACUGAGGCGUGAUGACGAGGCACUACGGUGCUGAAGCAACAAAUGCCCUGCUUCCAGGAAAAGCCUCUAAGCAUCAGGUAACAUCAAAUCGUACCCCAAACCGACACAGGUGGUCAGGUAGAGAAUACCAAGGCGCUUGAGAGAACUCGGGUGAAGGAACUAGGCAAAAUGGUGCCGUAACUUCGGGAGAAGGCACGCUGACACGUAGGUGAAGUGAUUUACUCACGGAGCUGAAGUCAGUCGAAGAUACCAGCUGGCUGCAACUGUUUAUUAAAAACACAGCACUGUGCAAACACGAAAGUGGACGUAUACGGUGUGACGCCUGCCCGGUGCCGGAAGGUUAAUUGAUGGGGUCAGCGCAAGCGAAGCUCCUGAUCGAAGCCCCGGUAAACGGCGGCCGUAACUAUAACGGUCCUAAGGUAGCGAAAUUCCUUGUCGGGUAAGUUCCGACCUGCACGAAUGGCGUAAUGAUGGCCAGGCUGUCUCCACCCGAGACUCAGUGAAAUUGAACUCGCUGUGAAGAUGCAGUGUACCCGCGGCAAGACGGAAAGACCCCGUGAACCUUUACUAUAGCUUGACACUGAACAUUGAGCCUUGAUGUGUAGGAUAGGUGGGAGGCUUUGAAGUGUGGACGCCAGUCUGCAUGGAGCCGACCUUGAAAUACCACCCUUUAAUGUUUGAUGUUCUAACGUGGACCCGUAAUCCGGGUUGCGGACAGUGUCUGGUGGGUAGUUUGACUGGGGCGGUCUCCUCCUAAAGAGUAACGGAGGAGCACGAAGGUUGGCUAAUCCUGGUCGGACAUCAGGAGGUUAGUGCAAUGGCAUAAGCCAGCUUGACUGCGAGCGUGACGGCGCGAGCAGGUGCGAAAGCAGGUCAUAGUGAUCCGGUGGUUCUGAAUGGAAGGGCCAUCGCUCAACGGAUAAAAGGUACUCCGGGGAUAACAGGCUGAUACCGCCCAAGAGUUCAUAUCGACGGCGGUGUUUGGCACCUCGAUGUCGGCUCAUCACAUCCUGGGGCUGAAGUAGGUCCCAAGGGUAUGGCUGUUCGCCAUUUAAAGUGGUACGCGAGCUGGGUUUAGAACGUCGUGAGACAGUUCGGUCCCUAUCUGCCGUGGGCGCUGGAGAACUGAGGGGGGCUGCUCCUAGUACGAGAGGACCGGAGUGGACGCAUCACUGGUGUUCGGGUUGUCAUGCCAAUGGCACUGCCCGGUAGCUAAAUGCGGAAGAGAUAAGUGCUGAAAGCAUCUAAGCACGAAACUUGCCCCGAGAUGAGUUCUCCCUGAGACUUAGAGUCUCCUGAAGGAACGUUGAAGACGACGACGUUGAUAGGCCGGGUGUGUAAGCGCAGCGAUGCGUUGAGCUAACCGGUACUAAUGAACCGUGAGGCUUAACCUU
This 3090-nucleotide ribosomal RNA is filed under the name Salmonella enterica subsp. enterica serovar 4,[5],12:i:-. RNAcentral describes it as "23S ribosomal RNA". It matches the Rfam family "Bacterial large subunit ribosomal RNA". The record is from RNAcentral. Lineage: Bacteria; Pseudomonadati; Pseudomonadota; Gammaproteobacteria; Enterobacterales; Enterobacteriaceae.